AAUGGAGAGUUUGAUCCUGGCUCAGGANNAACGCUAGCUACAGGCUUAACACAUGCAAGUCGAGGGGCAGCAUGGACUUAGCUUGCUAAGUCCGAUGGCGACCGGCGCACGGGUGAGUAACACGUAUCCAACCUUCCGGUUACUCCGGUAUAGCCUUUCGAAAGAAAGAUUAAUCCCGGAUAGUAUGGUGAUUCCGCAUGGUUUCUCCAUUAAAGGAUUCCGGNAACCGAUGGGGAUGCGUUCCAUUAGGCGGUUGGCGGGGUAACGGCCCACCAAACCUACGAUGGAUAGGGGUUCUGAGAGGAAGGUCCCCCACAUUGGAACUGAGACACGGUCCAAACUCCUACGGGAGGCAGCAGUGAGGAAUNUUGGUCAAUGGGCGUAAGCCUGAACCAGCCAAGUNGCGUGAAGGAUGACUGCCCUAUGGGUUGUAAACUUCUUUUAUAAGGGAAUNAAUUGAGGCNCGCNNNNNNNUUUGCAUGUACCUUAUGAAUAAGGAUCGGCUAACUCCGUGCCAGCAGCCNCGGUAAUACGGAGGAUCCGAGCGUUAUCCGGAUUUAUUGGGUUUAAAGGGAGCGUAGGCGGGCGCUUAAGUCAGCUGUGAAAGUUUGGGGCUCAACCUUAAAAUUGCAGUUGAUACUGGGCGUCUUGAGUGCGGCACAGGCAGGCGGAAUUCGUGGUGUAGCGGUGAAAUGCUUAGAUAUCACGAGGAACUCCGUUCGCGAAGGCGGCUUGCCGGACCGUAACUGACGCUGAUGCUCGAAAGUGUGGGUAUCAAACAGGAUUNGAUACCCUGGUAGUCCACACGGUAAACGAUGAAUACUCGCUGUUUGCGAUAUNCAGUAAGCGGCCAAGCGAAAGCGUUAAGUAUUCCACCUGGGGAGUACGCCGGCAACGGUGAAACUCAAAGGAAUUGACGGGGGCCCGCACAAGCGGAGGAACAUGUGGUUUNAUUCGAUNAUACGCGAGGAACCUUACCCGGGCUUGAAUUGCAACCGAAUUACCUUGAAAGGGGUAAGCCGCAAGGCGGUUGUGAAGGUGCUGCAUGGUUGUCGUCAGCUCGUGCCGUGAGGUGUCGGCUUAAGUGCCAUAACGAGCGCAACCCUUAUCGACAGUUACCAUCGGGUCAUGCCGGGGACUCUGUCGAGACUGCYGUCGUAAGAURCGAGGAAGGGGGGGAUGACGUCAAAUCAGCACGGCCCUUACGUCCGGGGCUACACACGUGUUACAAUGGGGGGUACAGCAAGCCGCCCGGCGGCGACGCCCGGCUAAUCCUAAAAACCCCUCUCAGUUCGGACUGGAGUCUGCAACCCGACUCCACGAAGCUGGAUUCGCUAGUAAUCGCGCAUCAGCCACGGCGCGGUGAAUACGUUCCCGGGCCUUGUACACACCGCCCGUCAAGCCAUGAAAGCCGGGGGUACCUGAAGUGCGUAACCGUAAAGGAGCGCCCUAGGGUAAAACCGGUGAU
RNAcentral lists this ribosomal RNA (1468 nucleotides) under Bacteroides zoogleoformans. Its description in RNAcentral is "16S ribosomal RNA". It matches the Rfam family "Bacterial small subunit ribosomal RNA". Lineage: Bacteria; Pseudomonadati; Bacteroidota; Bacteroidia; Bacteroidales; Bacteroidaceae. The record is from RNAcentral.